CUAAGAACUUCCAUAUAAAAGGUGUUUGGGGAUUGCAGACUGGUUGAAAGGGAAGUCGGGAGGACUUGCCUUGAAGCAGCUGCAGAGACCAUGAGCUGAAGACAGAAGCAUCACAAGAGGAAAGGAGCCUGGAUCCCUGAGUCAUCGACUGGAGGAGAACUGCAUAAGAAGCUCCCCCAGGCCCGGCACGGUGGCUCAUGCCUGUAAUCCCAGCACUUUGGGAGGCUGAGGCGGGCAGAUCACCUGAGGUCAGGAGUUCAAGACCAGCCUGGCAAACAUGGUGAAACUCUGUCUCUACUAAAAAUAGAAAAAUUAGCUGGGUGUGGUGGGCACUCGUAAUCCCAGCUACUUGGG
This 354-nucleotide long non-coding RNA is filed under the name Pan troglodytes (chimpanzee). RNAcentral describes it as "long non-coding RNA NONPTRT009599". The record is from RNAcentral. Lineage: Eukaryota; Metazoa; Chordata; Mammalia; Primates; Hominidae.